UAUCUUGAAAAUUACCUCUGGAUGAAUUAUUCUCCAGAGGUGUCCAGCAAAGCCUAUUUAAUGUCAAUCUGCUGUAUGGUGAAUGAGAAGUUCAGAGAAAAUGUCCCUGCAUGGGAGACUUUUAAGAAGAAGCCAGACCACUUCCCAUUUUUUUUUAAGUGCAUCUUGAGGGCAGCAUUAGCUGAAACUGAUGGUGAAUUUUCACUCCAUGAACAGACAGUCUUACUGCUUUUUCUUGAUCAUUGCUUCAAUAGCUUGGAAGUGGACUUGAUACGGAGCCAAGUACAGCAGCUUAUCUCCCUCCCCAUGUGGAUGGGCUUACAGCCUGCACGAUUGGAAUUAGAAUUAAAAAAGACACCUAAGCUAAGAAAAUUCUGGAACUUGAUUAAAAAGAAUGAUGAAAAGAUGGAUCCAGAAGCAAGAGAACAAGCCUAUCAAGAAAGAAGAUUUCUUUCACAACUCAUCCAGAAAUUUAUCUCUGUGCUGAAAUCAGUCCCACCUUCUGAACCUGUCACUAUGGACAAAGUUCAUUACUGUGAAAGAUUCAUUGAACUUAUGAUUGAUCUAGAGGCUUUGCUCCCUACAAGACGCUGGUUUAAUACUAUCCUGGAUGACUCCCACCUUUUGGUUCACUGUUACCUUUCCAAUCUUGUCCAUAGAGAAGAGGAUGGCCAUCUUUUCUCGCAGCUUUUGGACAUGCUCAAGUUCUAUACUGGUUUUGAGAUUAAUGACCAGACUGGAAAUGCUCUGACAGAGAAUGAGAUGACUACAAUUCACUAUGAUAGAAUUACUUCUCUACAGAGAGCUGCUUUUGCCCAUUUCCCUGAACUCUAUGAUUUUGCUCUCUCAAAUGUGGCAGAAGUAGAUACUCGAGAAUCCUUGGUCAAGUUUUUUGGGCCUCUUAGUUCAAAUACACUCCACCAGGUGGCAUCAUACCUCUGCUUGUUACCAACUCUUCCUAAAAAUGAAGAGACAAGUUUAGAUAAAGAAUUUCUUCUGGAAUUGCUGGUUUCUCGUCAUGAGCGUCGGAUUUCUCAGAUUCAGCAACUGAACCAGAUGCCUUUGUAUCCAACUGAGAAAAUCAUAUGGGAUGAAAAUAUUGUCCCGACUGAGUACUAUUCCGGAGAAGGUUGUCUUGCUCUUCCCAAGUUAAAUUUGCAGUUUUUGACUCUUCAUGAUUACCUCCUAAGGAACUUUAAUCUCUUCCGCUUAGAAUCAACUUAUGAAAUCAGGCAGGACAUCGAGGAUAGUGUCAGCAGAAUGAAGCCAUGGCAAUCUGAGUAUGGUGGUGUAGUGUUUGGUGGCUGGGCACGGAUGGCCCAGCCCAUUGUGGCUUUCACUGUAGUUGAGGUUGCCAAACCCAACAUAGGUGAAAACUGGCCCACCCGAGUUCGUGCAGAUGUUACCAUCAAUCUGAAUGUCAGAGAUCACAUCAAAGAUGAAUGGGAAGGACUUCGAAAGCAUGAUGUAUGCUUUUUAAUUACCGUACGUCCUACAAAACCUUAUGGUACCAAGUUUGACAGGAGGAGACCUUUUAUUGAGCAGAUUGGCCUGGUUUAUGUCAGAGGCUGUGAAAUCCAGGGCAUGCUUGAUGAUAAAGGGCGUGUCAUUGAAGAUGGACCUGAACCCAGACCCAAUCUUAGAGGAGAGUCAAGGACAUUCAGAGUAUUUUUGGAUCCAAACCAGUAUCAACAAGAUAUGACCAAUACUAUACAAAAUGGAGGAGAAGAUGUUUAUGAAACUUUCAAUAUAAUAAUGAGGAGAAAACCAAAGGAAAAUAACUUUAAGGCUGUGCUGGAGACUAUUCGGAACCUGAUGAAUACUGAUUGUGUGGUACCUGACUGGCUUCAUGACAUCAUUUUAGGUUACGGGGAUCCAAGUAGUGCACAUUAUUCAAAAAUGCCCAAUCAGAUCGCCACUCUUGAUUUCAACGAUACAUUUCUUUCCAUUGAGCAUUUAAAAGUCAGCUUUCCUGGUCAUAAUGUUAAAGUAACUGUGGAUGACCCAGCACUACAGAUACCCCCUUUCAGGAUAACUUUUCCAGUAAGAAGUGGAAAGGGGAAGAAAAGGAAAGAUGCAGACAGGGAAGAUGAAGACACUGAAGAGGCAAAAACCUUAAUUGUUGAACCUCAUGUUAUUCCGAAUAGGGGUCCUUAUCCUUACAAUCAACCCAAACGUAAUACAAUUCAGUUCACUCAUACACAGAUAGAGGCCAUCCGAGCUGGGAUGCAGCCCGGGCUAACUAUGGUUGUGGGCCCGCCAGGUACUGGAAAAACAGAUGUGGCAGUCCAAAUCAUAUCCAACAUAUACCACAAUUUCCCAGAGCAGAGGACUCUGAUUGUUACUCAUUCCAAUCAGGCCUUGAACCAAUUGUUUGAGAAAAUCAUGGCUUUAGACAUUGACGAGCGCCACCUCCUACGUCUUGGUCAUGGAGAAGAAGAGCUGGAGACAGAGAAAGAUUUUAGCAGGUAUGGAAGAGUUAAUUAUGUCCUUGCUCGAAGAAUAGAACUUUUAGAAGAAGUCAAACGAUUGCAGAAGAGUCUAGGAGUUCCAGGAGAUGCCUCCUAUACUUGUGAAACAGCAGGCUAUUUCUUCUUAUAUCAGGUGAUGUCUCGUUGGGAGGAGUACAUCAGCAGAGUGAGAAGUAAGAGUGAUGCAUCGCCGGGUGUUGUGGAGAUCUCCACUCUCUUCCCAUUUCACGAAUACUUCGCAAAUGCCCCUCGACCCAUUUUUAAAGGUCGAUCUUAUGAAGAAGACAUGGAAAUUGCUGAGGGAUGUUUCAGGCAUAUUAAGAAAAUCUUCACUCAGCUUGAGGAAUUCAGAGCCUCAGAACUGCUUCGCAGUGGACUGGACAGAUCCAAAUACCUUUUGGUGAAAGAAGCCAAAAUCAUUGCUAUGACCUGCACGCAUGCUGCCUUAAAACGACAUGAUUUAGUCAAGCUAGGUUUCAAGUAUGACAACAUUUUAAUGGAAGAGGCUGCUCAGAUUCUGGAGAUAGAAACAUUUAUACCUCUUCUUCUACAGAAUCCUCAGGAUGGUUUUAGCCGACUGAAGCGCUGGAUUAUGAUUGGUGAUCAUCACCAGUUGCCUCCAGUCAUUAAGAACAUGGCCUUUCAGAAGUAUUCAAACAUGGAGCAAUCUCUCUUCACUCGCUUUGUCCGGGUCGGAGUUCCCACUGUGGACCUCGAUGCCCAGGGUAGAGCCAGAGCGAGCUUGUGUAACCUCUACAACUGGCGGUACAAGAAUCUAGGAAACUUACCCCACGUGCAGCUCUUGCCAGAGUUCAGAACAGCAAACGCUGGCUUGCUUUAUGACUUCCAGCUCAUCAAUGUUGAAGACUUUCAGGGAGUGGGAGAGUCUGAACCUAAUCCUUAUUUUUAUCAGAAUCUUGGAGAGGCAGAAUAUGUAGUAGCACUUUUUAUGUACAUGUGUUUACUUGGUUACCCUGCUGACAAGAUCAGUAUUCUAACAACAUAUAAUGGGCAAAAGCAUCUUAUUCGUGACAUCAUCAAUAGACGAUGUGGGAGCAAUCCAUUGAUUGGAAGACCAAAUAAGGUCACAACUGUUGACAGAUUUCAAGGUCAGCAGAAUGAUUAUAUUCUUCUUUCUCUUGUACGAACCAGGGCAGUGGGCCAUCUAAGGGAUGUCCGUCGCUUAGUGGUGGCCAUGUCUAGAGCCAGACUUGGACUUUAUAUCUUUGCCAGAGUAUCCCUCUUCCAAAACUGUUUUGAACUAACUCCCGCCUUCAGUCAGCUCACGGCCCGCCCACUUCAUUUGCAUAUAAUUCCAACGGAACCUUUCCCGACCAAUAGGAAGAAUGGAGAGAGACCAUCUCAUGAAGUACAGAUAAUAAAGAAUAUGCCCCAGAUGGCCAACUAUGUAUACAACAUGUACAUGCAUUUGAUACAGACCACACAUCAUUAUCAUCAGACUUUAUUACAGUUGCCACCUGCUAUGGUAGAAGAAGGUGAGGAAGUUCAAAGUCAGGAAACAGAAUUGGAAACAGAAGAAGAAGCCAAUCCUUGUCAAGCUGACAUACCCAGUCUUACAGACACCAGCUCCAGUCAAGAAUCCUUAGCCUCUCAGACCGAGACCAGCGACAGUCAGACUGAGAGCACCCCCAGCCAGCCAGGAGCCAGCCCCGGGGCAGAGGCCAUCCCUGCUCCGUCCGCUGAGGCUGCUGGGGCCGCAGGACCUGCAUCUGAGCCAGCAGAGGCUGACGCACUCCCAAGUGCUGCUCCUGCCGCAGAAGAGACUGCGUAGCCCAGCUGAAGCUUGUCUCAGGGAGGACAUUUCAUUCAUAAAGUCUAAAGGAGAUGAAUCUUGUGUUACCUGCAGCCAUAUCAAGCAAACUGUUGGGCUCAUUAAGCCGUUUUCCAAACUAUGUACCACUCUGUGUAGAUGAUGACUGGACUUUUUUCUUUCCUGCUUCAUUUUCUAUCACAUUACAAAGAAAAUUUAACCAGAUGGAUAUUGCCAACCUAUCCUCUGACUUGGUGCUUGGCUCUGCCCCUCUCCAGGGAGCAUGUAGGAUGAUGAGGAAGGGGACACAUGGCGGCAGUGGCCACUGAGAAUCGAGGAUCCAGCACACUGGGAGGCUGAAUCAGUCCAUCGCUACACUGGAGAUGCUCUCUGCCAAAAUUAAAAUUCUGACAGAACAGCAUAACCAAAGGGAAGACAUGAGGUACCAUCCAUCAUGCUUCUGAUGUAUUGAUAAUUUCUAUCAACUCUGAAUCCUGCACUCCCCCACCUCCAGAUCAUCUCUAUUGUUGGAUUUAUUAGCUUUGUGCCUUGAAUGUGUGUUUUCCUUUUUUAUCACUUGUAGUCACUCAAAUAGUAUUUUUAGAGAUGUUUCUUCAAUUAAAAUUCAAUUCGAAAGAUUUUUUUUUAAUGCUGACCCUUUUGCACAAGCCGGAACAGCAGUUAAAGACAAGCAGUGCUUUGCUUCCUGUGAAGAAUGCUUGGCAGUUAGCCUGUGUGAUUAUGAAGCAAUCAUGUUAAUAGAUGUUUAAGAAUAAAUGCAACUGGAGCUGCACUGAGCCAAGGAUGGAAAUGAAAACAUGAAACCAUUUUUUGCCUUCAUCCACUGGGUUUUAAAUCAGUGGAAUCCAGAAGCUUUGGAUGCUUUUCAUUUUUCUUCCUAGGGACAAACCAGAGCUCAGGGCCUGGAGCAGGACUCAGAGUGCAGCACAGUUGCUGCUGGCUUGACUUGACGCCAGCUUUACCGACUUAACUCUCUGCCUUUGCCUUAUACUUACUUUAGUGGCUGCUUAAACAUACAAAGAUGGCUAAUCCCAUUAUUUCUCAACAUAUAUUAUAGGUUAACACUAGUUUUGAAACAUAUUCUGAAAAAUAUGCUUCAUGGUCAGAUAAGCUUGAGUAGCACAAUGAAUUAUUAUUCCCCUUUUGCAGAAUCACAAUGUAUUGAUAGCCGAUCAAAGGCUCUGAGAAUUCCUGCUGAGAAAAGCCACAUCUCACUUUAUUGAGGCUAGCUUUCCCCAAACUUACUUGACCAUAGAUCUCUUUGUUGCUAUUUGUGUUUGGCUUUGUUAUUUAAAUAAGACUCUAGGGAACUAGCUCUGCAGAACAGUUUUGGAACCCAUAUCUUCCCAGAAAAAUUGAACUUUGAUUUCCCCUUAGAAAAGAGGAUCAUAAUAUGGCACUCCCAAAAUAUGCCACUUUGGCAUAAGGAUUAUUUUGAGCUAAAGACAAUUGAGAAGUGGCAGAUGCAAAAACUACUCUGUCUUCCUGCUUCUGCUUAAAAGCAGAAUAUAAAUUUCAUCUUGUAGAAGUAUAGCACAGAGAAGACAAGUAGUGACUCUGUGGCAUCUUACUACACUGAUGGACAGUGACUGU
This is a non-coding RNA of Manis javanica (Malayan pangolin), 5856 nucleotides long. Lineage: Eukaryota; Metazoa; Chordata; Mammalia; Pholidota; Manidae. The record is from RefSeq and is a predicted model, not a curated record.